Prunus mume (Japanese apricot) is the source of this 453-nucleotide non-coding RNA. The record is from RefSeq and is a predicted model, not a curated record. Lineage: Eukaryota; Viridiplantae; Streptophyta; Magnoliopsida; Rosales; Rosaceae.
CAGAUCUCAGACUGUCAUCAUUAUUGUUGUGCCAAUUGUUGUUUCUGUGGUAAUAAUAGUUAUAUUCUUCUGCAUUUGUUUAAGAGUAAGGAGGACAAAGAAAAAACUUGAAACUAGGAAGUUAAUUCCAGGCAGCGACGAUACAGAUGAAAUUGGAUCUGCAGAAUCUUUGCAAUUUGACUUGGCCACCAUUAGAGUUUCCACAGAUGACUUUUCUGAAGCAAAUAAACUUGGACAGGGCGGAUUUGGAUCUGUUUACAGGGGUAGGCUUCUCAAUGGAAAAGAUAUAGCUGUAAAAAGGCUCUCUACAAAUUCGGGGCAAGGAGAUUUAGAAUUCAAAAACGAGAUCUUAUUAGUGGCUAAACUUCAACACCGGAAUUUAGUUAGACUCUUAGGUUUCUGCUUAGAAGGGAGUGAAAGGCUUCUUGUCUAUGAAUUUGUCCCUAAUGCAAG